RNAcentral lists this ribosomal RNA (324 nucleotides) under uncultured Euglypha. RNAcentral's name for it is "SSU rRNA". The stretch from base 109 to 324 matches the Rfam family "Eukaryotic small subunit ribosomal RNA", at positions 738 to 955 of the family's 1831-position model. The record is from RNAcentral. Lineage: Eukaryota; Cercozoa; Imbricatea; Euglyphida; Euglyphidae.
GAUUUCUGAUGAACCGGAGUGGCCCGUUUCCUUUCAGGGAAUGAGUGCCGCUUUGAGUUUGUCAUCCUUCCAGAGAGCUGCGUCUACCGUUUACUCGGCCGGACGUAUGCGAUCUGGAUCUAUUACUUUGAAAAAAUUAGAGUGUUUAAAGCAGGCUUUUGCUAUGAAUACAUUAGCAUGGAAUAAUAAUCUAGGACUUCGGUUCUAUUUUGUUGGUUUCUAUAACUGAAGUAAUGAUUGAUAGGGAUAGUUGGGGGUGCUAGUAUUGGCCGGCCAGAGGUGAAAUUCUUGGAUUCGGUCAAGACUAACUUAUGCGAAAGCAUU